UAUCCGAUGCAGAGCACUUAGUCCAGUAUUAGCAGUAGGCAGAGAAGGUCCAUUAAUGCUUCUUGUGAGAGGUAGAAUGAUUGGCGGUGACUUUCCGCACUUGUACCCACUUAAGUUAGUAGCUGCUGACCACAGACUCUUAAGAAACCAAGUGGAAUAAAACACUAUUCGACCACAUUUAAUAACGUUUUUUUUUUUUUUUCCCCAGCAAAAUUGCGCCUCCAACACUGUCCAUUUUACCAGCGGGGUUUUGUCAGCACACGUUCAAGGCCGUGCACCUUACAUCAGCGUAACCUUGACGUUUGCACCACUUACACACUGCUGGUGCAACGUAUUUGUGACAAAACAUUUCAUGCUGGUGUUCAGUGAGGGUCGCACAGCCUUGAUCUUGGCUGUUUUGCUGUUCUGAGGUGAGACAUGGAAAUAUGUGUUUCAUCAAACCUAUUCAUGGAGAGCUGCAGCUCAAGGCAGGCUGCAGAUUCCGCUGUGGGUAAAUAUGGACACGGGCAGUAACUUCAAAAGAAGGGACAAAAUGUGCACCUUACUUUUCUUAAUGUGAAGGGUGAAACUGGAGUACCCGGAGAAAAACCGCAGCAUUCCUACAUUGGCCACCGUGUGACGCCAGGUUCAUCUACUGAGUUCCCAGCCUUUGUAUUUGAGCUUCAACUUCCCAUGGAUAUAUAAUAAAAGCUCCCAUCCCAACAAUGGCAGCAUCACCAGAGGCAAAGGCAGCAUGACUGACGUAAGCGUUGACACAAAAGACACAUCUCAGUGCUUUUCACAACCGAAAACUUU
RNA transcript from Cynoglossus semilaevis (tongue sole), 795 nucleotides. RefSeq lists it as uncharacterized. The transcript is spliced from 3 exons. NCBI's taxonomy places the organism in Eukaryota, Metazoa, Chordata, Actinopteri, Pleuronectiformes, Cynoglossidae. The record is from RefSeq and is a predicted model, not a curated record.